This 467-nucleotide ribosomal RNA is filed under the name uncultured bacterium. RNAcentral describes it as "partial 16S ribosomal RNA". It matches the Rfam family "Bacterial small subunit ribosomal RNA", at positions 28 to 507 of the family's 1533-position model. The record is from RNAcentral.
GAUGAACGCUGGCGGCGUGCUUAACACAUGCAAGUCGAACGGAAAGGCCUCUGCUUGCAGGGGUACUCGAGUGGCGAACGGGUGAGUAACACGUGGGUGAUCUGCCCUGCACUUCGGGAUAAGCCUGGGAAACUGGGUCUAAUACCGGAUAGGACAAUGGUUUGGAUGCUGUUGUGGAAAGUUUUUCGGUGUGGGAUGAGCUCGCGGCCUAUCAGCUUGUUGGUGGGGUAAUGGCCUACCAAGGCGUCGACGGGUAGCCGGCCUGAGAGGGUGUACGGCCACAUUGGGACUGAGAUACGGCCCAGACUCCUACGGGAGGCAGCAGUGGGGAAUAUUGCACAAUGGGCGCAAGCCUGAUGCAGCGACGCCGCGUGGGGGAUGACGGCCUUCGGGUUGUAAACUCCUUUCGCUAGGGACGAAGCGUUUUUGUGACGGUACCUGGAGAAGAAGCACCUGCUAACUACGUG